RNAcentral lists this transfer RNA (67 nucleotides) under Cimex lectularius (bed bug). RNAcentral describes it as "tRNA-Leu". Lineage: Eukaryota; Metazoa; Arthropoda; Insecta; Hemiptera; Cimicidae. The record is from RNAcentral.
UUCUAAUAUGGCAGAUUAGUGCAAUGAACUUAAGAUUCAUUUAUAAAGGCUUACCUUUUAUUAGAAA